UACGUAGGGGGCAAGCGUUAUCCGGAUUUACUGGGUGUAAGGGGAGCGUAGACGGCGAUGCAAGUCUGAAGUGAAAGGCGGGGGCCCAACCCCCGGACUGCUUUGGAAACUGUAUGGCUGGAGUGCAGGAGAGGUAAGUGGAAUUCCUAGUGUAGCGGUGAAAUGCGUAGAUAUUAGGAGGAACACCAGUGGCGAAGGCGGCUUACUGGACUGUAACUGACGUUGAGGCUCGAAAGCGUGGGGAGCAAACAGG
This 253-nucleotide ribosomal RNA is filed under the name uncultured bacterium. RNAcentral's name for it is "partial 16S ribosomal RNA". It matches the Rfam family "Bacterial small subunit ribosomal RNA", at positions 524 to 776 of the family's 1533-position model. The record is from RNAcentral.